UCCAGCAGCACACAGACAACAUGCAAAUACCGCAACUGCAGGACUGAACGAAGCAAAGCGAUGACACUUUCCAUUCAACAUGGACUCGGUGCACUGCGAUGCAGGAAGGCAGGCUGCUGGGCACGGAGCUGGAGUUCCAGCACAUGGUGCUCACAUGGCACUAAGCACCACUUCAACUCCCAACAAUCCACAUACCAGCCCCAGGUUCUUUUAAGGACAUCAGCGAAGGAUGGAGUUAACUGGCUUUGAGGAGCACAGAGCCAACUCUUGCAAACAAGCCGGCGCACUGACCCUUCUUAUGGGCCUUCCCUAUUGCAUCCUUCUGCCUGGGUUCCUC
This 337-nucleotide long non-coding RNA is filed under the name Gallus gallus (chicken). RNAcentral's name for it is "long non-coding RNA NONGGAT008826". Lineage: Eukaryota; Metazoa; Chordata; Aves; Galliformes; Phasianidae. The record is from RNAcentral.